UACGUAGGGGGCGAGCGUUGUCCGGAAUCAUUGGGCGUAAAGAGCUCGUAGGCGGUUCAGUAAGUCGGCUGUGAAAUUCCGAGGCUCAACCUCGGAACUGCAGUCGAUACUAUUGUGACUAGAGUCCGGUAGAGGAGGAUGGAAUUCCCGGUGUAGCGGUGAAAUGCGCAGAUAUCGGGAGGAACACCAAUGGCGAAGGCAGCUCGCUGGGACGUUACUGACGCUGAGACGCGAAAGCGUGGGGAGCAAACAGG
This 254-nucleotide ribosomal RNA is filed under the name uncultured bacterium. RNAcentral describes it as "partial 16S ribosomal RNA". It matches the Rfam family "Bacterial small subunit ribosomal RNA", at positions 524 to 776 of the family's 1533-position model. The record is from RNAcentral.